AGAGAUAGCGAGGGCUUGGGUGGAGAAGGGGAAGGCUAGACCAGCGGCGGCUUAGGCCGCAGCGGGGGGUGGGGGGUGGGGGCGCGAGCCAAGGGCAGGUCUUGGACGGUGGAUGCUGCCUCGCUCCGGCGGCUUCGGCCGCUGUUUUCCUAAGCUUCGUCGGCCGGCCUCGAUGAAACUGAAGCUGCAACUCCUCCCGCAGCCGGAGUCGAGGACCGGAGGGUCCCGGGCGGCGGCGACCCGAGCAUGUACCAGUCCACGCCCGCUGAGCCUCUCCUCGAAACCGGCAUUCCUGAUAUGUCGAAUCAAAGAGGACCCUAGUGCAAGAGGCCUGCAGGUAACUCAAAGGCUCGUUUCAGGCCCGGAGGUCCAAAUAGAUGUGUAGGUGUUACGUCCGGCUCCGACGAUCGAACAUGUACCUAAGGAUCUACGGCAUGAUUACUUCUUCUAUCGUUCGGCAGCUAACGACGUUGUCCCGCCGUCCCUUCUAGGCUCAGUCGGCUGCCAACAGUUCCGUUGUCAUUGGAAGAUUUCCUGGAAGGAUAUCAGAGGACGGUUACGGCCUAAUCUAGCUCCAGCGCCACCUAACCCACUUAGCGCGCAUGGAUCCAUAUCGGAGUACUGCGCUCCUCUUGAGCAGUGUGAGCCGUCGGGGUUCGUCGCCAGGUUUUGUAUAAUUUCAAGGUACCUAGUUCUUCCAUAUCGUUAUCAUGACAGUGUGGACAUGUUGAUGAACCACCUUGUUAAAAGUAACGUCAAAACGGUCUUGACUACGAUUCAGUACCGUCCAACAAAGACCGCCAUCACAAAAGUAGACUAUAGUAACUAUAAAAUAAAUGACUUAUUGGAAAGUUCUUAGUGUAUUCGUAUACCAGAAUAGUACAGUAUCACGUCGACUUGGACUCGCAUUAACGUCCGAUAUCGAGAAAUAAUAGAUAUAUAUAACUUACUGACUUACCACUGUGAUAUGAGCAGUCAACAAGUGGUGCAACAAACAAAGUUAUAAGAUAUAAUUACCCUAAUUCAACGGAUCUAAGGCUUCAAUGAAAUUAUCAAACCCACCGCAUUAUGAAGGACAUACCUCGUAUCAUGUUCUCGUUAUUGAUUAAUUUAAACACAAAACAAUCUAGAAGCGAAAGAGAACGACGUGCAUCGACAGAGUCAAGUAUUUAUGGAUCGAUGUAAAAUGGAGUAUAUCCUACGUUAAAACCAAUCAUUUUCCUCCGGAAUAUCAGUUUCCGUUAUAAAAGAUUCAAGAUCGGUUGAAACGAUGAGUACUCUUAGUAGCUGUUCAAUGUUAAAAGGAAUCCUUGAUAAGUUAUGAAAAAAAUUAAACGAGUUCAUUGAAAGAUCUUAGUGGUCUCAGUAGAACAGAAUACUUUACGAAGUUUGAAGCGUACAUAAGAACUCUUAAUAUAAUUCCUGGACUGUGAACCUUACACUAGAUAGAGACUUAGAGGUUCACCGUAUCCUCGCUAAAAUGUCUGACUUCUAUUGUUUCACACAUCCAGGUAAGAAUGUUCAACUACAAGCAAGAGAACCUGUGAUUAGGACAUUAAAACAUAAACCGUUUAUGUUACAAACGAACUAACUGUUCAUACGUUGUCGUGUCGAGAAGCUUAAAUUAUUCUGUUCGAUAUUAACGAGUUCAAUUUAGGAAGAGCAUCUUUUAAUUUAAAGGUUGUACUUUAUCGACGUUAACCACGUCCGUUUGUAAAAUACAAUGCUAAAGACUAAAGAAAACGAAGGUUAUAAACAUUAACUCACCAUAAUUGUCCA
Molecule: ribosomal RNA, 1779 nt
Filed under: Triticum aestivum (bread wheat)
Lineage: Eukaryota; Viridiplantae; Streptophyta; Magnoliopsida; Poales; Poaceae
Description: partial small subunit ribosomal RNA
Source: RNAcentral